RNAcentral lists this ribosomal RNA (492 nucleotides) under uncultured bacterium. Its description in RNAcentral is "partial 16S ribosomal RNA". It matches the Rfam family "Bacterial small subunit ribosomal RNA", at positions 29 to 507 of the family's 1533-position model. The record is from RNAcentral.
AGUGAACGCUGGCGGUAGGCCUAACACAUGCAAGUCGAACGGCAGCACAGUAAGAGCUUGCUCUUACGGGUGGCGAGUGGCGGACGGGUGAGGAAUACAUCGGAAUCUACUUUUUCGUGGGGGAUAACGUAGGGAAACUUACGCUAAUACCGCAUACGACCUACGGGUGAAAGCAGGGGAUCUUCGGACCUUGCGCGAUUGAAUGAGCCGAUGUCGGAUUAGCUAGUUGGCGGGGUAAAGGCCCACCAAGGCGACGAUCCGUAGCUGGUCUGAGAGGAUGAUCAGCCACCCUGGAACUGAGACACGGUCCAGACUCCUGCGGGAGGCAGCAGUGGGGAAUAUUGGACAAUGGGCGCAAGCCUGAUCCAGCCAUACCGCGUGGGUGAAGAAGGCCUUCGGGUUGUAAGGCCCUUUUGUUGGGAAAGAAAAGCAGCAGGUUAAUACCCCGCUGUUCUGACGGUACCCAAAGAAUAAGCACCGGCUAACUUCGUG